RNAcentral lists this ribosomal RNA (442 nucleotides) under uncultured bacterium. Its description in RNAcentral is "partial 16S ribosomal RNA". It matches the Rfam family "Bacterial small subunit ribosomal RNA", at positions 338 to 795 of the family's 1533-position model. The record is from RNAcentral.
CCUACGGGUGGCAGCAGUAGGGAAUCUUUCACAAUGGGCGAAAGCCUGAUGGAGCAACGCCGCGUGCAGGAUGAAGGCCUUCGGGUUGUAAACUGCUUUUAUAAGCGAGAAAUAUGAUGGUAACUUAUGAAUAAGGAUCGGCUAACUACGUGCCAGCAGCCGCGGUCAUACGUAGGAUCCGAGCAUUAUCCGGAGUGACUGGGUGUAAAGAGUUGCGUAGGUGGCAUAAUAAGUAGCUAGGGAAAUCUGGUGGCUCAACCAUUCAGACUAUUAGCUAAACUGUGAAGCUCGAGACCGUUAGGGGUAACUGGAAUUACUAGUGUAGGAGUGAAAUGCGUAGAUAUUAGAAGGAACACCAAUAGCGUAGGCAGGUUACUGGGACGGUUCUGACACUAAGGCACGAAAGCGUAGGGAGCAAACGGGAUUAGAUACCCUUGUAGUC